UAUAAAAAAAGGCAAAAUCCCGCUCACUGUUUUUGGUUACCCGCUCGUUAACCAAAUCCCCCAAAUUAUUUCUUUUUCCCCAAAUAAAAGAGAAGAGGGGGGAGGAGGAAGAAGAAGAGAGUGAAGAUGAAGGGACUAAAAAGGUCAAAGGUAGUAGUAGAAAGAGAAGUUCUAGGAAAUCUGUCCAACCAGACCAUGAACAGUGACAGGAAUUUUCUGUCCAAGUUGAUAAAAGCCCUGAAGAAUCUGAGACAGACUUCUUAAACUCAAGAAGAACAACUUUGUCUGAAGAAUUAUCACCCAAAACGACACUGUUCAAUACACAGGAGAAGAGUAAGAAAAAUGGCUGCCACUUGAUCACUGAAGCUGAAAAGAAAUCCAUUUUGUAGAUACAGAACUACACUGGUGACAAGGAGAGUCUAGGGAAGUGUGAACAGGUUUUUGAAUUUAAAAGGAGCUUAAAUACUGUAAAUUCUGCAUGUAAUGAGGUACGAAAUUCCCUUAAAUUGAAGGAUCUCAUGAAGAAAAUAUCUCUAUCUAGGAAAUGCAUUGAACCAAGGAACUGCAAGGGUGAUGAGUGCAUUUUACUCGCCAAUGUGAUUGUGCACAAGUUGUCUGCAAGGACAGGAUGCUUAAAAUAAAGAUGACAAAACCUGAUCAAUAUAAGUGGUUAUCUGGUUUCAUGAUGUUAAUUUCUCACCUUCCCUUUUUUCUGCAAUAAAAUAGAACUUUCUAACUCUUGUCAUGGCACUGUUUUAUGUAAAACACAGACAUUAGUUUUACAUUGCAACUCUAGAAUUGCUAAGCCGUGCCUCUAAACAAGAGCCUUUAUGUAAAUACUUUUGCCUGAUGCUGGUUUUGAGUUUGCGGUUAACUGAUUUUUGUACGGGAGGUCAUUAAUCCAUGUGAAGGCUUGACUGACGAUGACAUUCGAACUGCUAUUCAAAGAAGCUCUUCAAUUUAUACUUGGUUGAUUAGGUGGGUUUUAGAGUCUUGAAUUUAUUCUUUGGUAUUAGCAUGCCAGUUUAGAGUCUUCAAUUUAUAAAGGCGUUGCUCCUAAAAUGUUGAAUUGCCUCAUGUAAGUUAUCUAGGUUAUUGCUUCUCUCUCGAUUGGGGCAUGUGUGUAUAUCUAUUCAUUAUUUGGUAUAAGGAUUUUGGAUGUUGAGAAAUCUUUGCAUUUAAUUUUUAUACGAUCUUUUUCUUUGAUUUUAUCUA
Molecule: long non-coding RNA, 1215 nt
Organism: Gossypium arboreum
Lineage: Eukaryota; Viridiplantae; Streptophyta; Magnoliopsida; Malvales; Malvaceae
Exons: 5
Source: RefSeq, a predicted model, not a curated record